GGCCCCGUGGCUCAACUGGAUAGAGCAGCCCCUUCCUAAGGAGCAGGUUAUUGGCCCGAAUCCAAUCGGGAUCCCCA
RNAcentral lists this transfer RNA (77 nucleotides) under Octadecabacter sp. Its description in RNAcentral is "tRNA-Arg". The record is from RNAcentral. Lineage: Bacteria; Pseudomonadati; Pseudomonadota; Alphaproteobacteria; Rhodobacterales; Roseobacteraceae.